AAGACUCAUCUGUCAUUUGUCAUCCCGAAUUGUGCGAGUCUGGUUCAGUCUUCCAACAUGCACGGGUGCUUGCUGGUCUUGAUGCUGCUGGCCUGCAGCUGCCAGGCGUUUAACUACAUGGGCACAGCCUUUACCUACCACGCCCUGAAGGGGUCUGACACCAGGACCGUCGUUCGCUACAAGGUGGCCUUCCAGGAGUGCGGAAACGUCACCGUGGUGGACUGUCCGCUGGACAACUGCACGAUCGACGUGGUGUCCGUGAAGAGGGUGGACGAGAACAGCGGAGUGUGGUGUCAGGAUGAAGUGACCGUGCAUGUGGACAUCCCAGAUAAUUUUACGCUGAAUCUGGAUGGCCUCAAGUGGAUCAACGUAACCAAUAACGUCACGGAUGUACUGGCCGUCACACGCGCAGACGUGAGGAUCAGGUCCGACACCGGCCGGCCAAAUAUGUCCCCCCGGGCGACCAUGAUUCCCUUGUACAGGGUACCGUCCAACUGCUAUUUCCAAUCGAGGAUGCCCAUCUUUGACUCAGACGGAGAUGAUGUGGAGUGUUUCCCUUUAAACCCUGACAACAACCCGGAUAUUUUAAAAAUCGUUGACGGUUGUUUCCUAAACUUCCUGCCCAUUUUCAACGACAGCAGCGUGGAGGGCUUGUACGCCGUGCAGGUGGUCAUGGAGGACAGCCCUCUCCAAGACUUGACUCUAACCGACGCCGCGGGGAACGAGAAGUUUAUCCACAAAAAUGAACCCAUCAGCGAAGUUCCCGUCCAGUUUGUUCUGAAGGUGGAUCCACCAGUGGAGUCGUGCCAAGAGGGAAAAUACCUGCCCUUGUUUUUACAUCCUACGCCUAACGACGGAGAUCAUCGAUACGCUUUUGUCAACCAGACCUUGGAGAUUGAUAUCUACGCAAGCGCGGAGGAAUCGACGAUCACACAACUGCUGUUCAGCGGGCCUGCCGGCGUAACAAAGAAAUCAUUGGGCGACGGCAAGUUUGUUCUGGCCUGGACGCCGACUCCAGAAGACUCCGGCCUACGUCAGGCCAUCUGCUUUGUGGUUGAAGCGACAAAAAAUAAUACCAUAUUUCAAUCGAAGAUGCGCUGUGUCAUCGUGGCAGUGGACCACUUGCUUAUGGUCGUGGAUGCCAAAUUCCUGUCCCGAAGCUUCACUACCCGCUUCGAUAUCACUCAUAUCGCCUUACCGCGGCUGAAGAAGGAGCUGGUGGAUCGAGGGCUGCCCCCUGACAUCACGCUGAGAGUGGUGGACUUCAAGGAGGACUAGGAGGUUUUAAUAUGGUGAUUGAUUGUUUAACAAAGACUCGUGAAAUGUGAUAAUUCACUCAGCAUCUUUUUUUUUUCCACUUCACAUGCCUCAACAAAAACCAAGAUCAUUCUUGAAAAUUGAUUGUGGCUUUGCAAUGUCACUAAGGUAUCAGGUGACUUUUUAGUUUAUGUGGUGAAAUUAUUUAAUUCAAUGUAAAUGUUUGCACAAAAUUGCACUUUGACCUUAUUACAACCAUCUGAAUAGUGAAGCUGGCUCUGUCGUGUUGACAGUGCCACUGUAUCAGAUUUAAGUUUUGAUAAAGCGACAGUGGUGACAUGA
Molecule: RNA transcript, 1599 nt
Organism: Hippocampus zosterae (dwarf seahorse)
Lineage: Eukaryota; Metazoa; Chordata; Actinopteri; Syngnathiformes; Syngnathidae
Exons: 11
Source: RefSeq, a predicted model, not a curated record